This 434-nucleotide long non-coding RNA is filed under the name Trifolium pratense (red clover). RNAcentral describes it as "long non-coding RNA (TPRA_LNC003729)". The record is from RNAcentral. Lineage: Eukaryota; Viridiplantae; Streptophyta; Magnoliopsida; Fabales; Fabaceae.
AUAGAUGAAGUAUAUGCAUGAUAUAUGAAUAUGCAUGAAUGAUGGUGAUGUAUAUGUAUAAUGUAUGAUUAUGCAUGUUUUUAUGAAGAAGUGUUUAAGUACCAUUUACUUACACUUGUAUAUUUUGAGUAUGUUAUCUAACUCUCUUUUAUGUGUUAUGUGCUGGACCGUUGGGGGUGCAGAUUCACAGGUUUGUGGUAUUCGAUGUCCAGUCGUCGGUGAAGCUCCGCUCUGAUUGUGACACGGGAAAAAGGGUUUUAUAUUGUAUAUAAAGUCUAUUGUCUAGGUUGUUUUGUAUAAUCAAUAAAUAUAUUAUUUGAUUCAAAGAUUUGUAUAAACAAGCAUUUUUACUAAUUAACUACAUUAGUAUAAUUUUGAUUGAAGAGUGUAAUGCUCGAACCAUGACUUUUAUAAUAAACAAACUUUGAUUUUCC